AGGACGAACGCUGGCGGCGUGCCUAAUACAUGCAAGUCGAACGGUCUUUCUAUGGAAGCUUGCUUCCACUGAGAAGAUAGUGGCGAACGGGUGAGUAACACGUGGGUAACCUGCCCAUAAGAGGGGGAUAACAUCCGGAAACGGGUGCUAAUACCGCAUAGUUUUCUUGAUUGCAUGAUUGAGAAAGGAAAGACGGCCUUUGUGCUGUCGCUUAUGGAUGGACCCGCGGCGUAUUAGUUAGUUGGUGAGGUAACGGCUCACCAAGACGAUGAUACGUAGCCGACCUGAGAGGGUGAUCGGCCACAUUGGGACUGAGACACGGCCCAAACUCCUACGGGAGGCAGCAGUAGGGAAUCUUCCGCAAUGGACGAAAGUCUGACGGAGCAACGCCGCGUGAGUGAAAGAAGGUUUUCGGAUCGUAAAACUCUGUUGUCAGAGAAGAACAAGUUGGAGAGUAACUGCUCCAGCCCUGACGGUAUCUGACCAGAAAGCCACGGCUAACUACGUGCCAGCCGCGGC
Molecule: ribosomal RNA, 519 nt
Filed under: uncultured bacterium
Lineage: Bacteria
Description: bacterial SSU rRNA
Rfam family: Bacterial small subunit ribosomal RNA
Source: RNAcentral